AGAUACCCCUGUAGUCCAGGGUGUAAACGCUGCAGACUUGGUGUUGGGGCCCUUUGGGGGCAUUCAGUGCCGGAGAGAAGUUGUUAAGUCUGCUACUUGGGGAGUACGUCCGCAAGGAUGAAACUUAAAGGAAUUGGCGGGGGAGCACCGCAACGGGAGGAGCGUGCGGUUUAAUUGGAUUCAACACCGUAAACUCACCAGGGAAGACUGUUACAUGAAGGCCGAGAUGAAGACUCUGCCAGAUUUUCAG
RNAcentral lists this ribosomal RNA (250 nucleotides) under uncultured archaeon. Its description in RNAcentral is "partial 16S ribosomal RNA". It matches the Rfam family "Archaeal small subunit ribosomal RNA", at positions 731 to 982 of the family's 1478-position model. The record is from RNAcentral.